This 236-nucleotide ribosomal RNA is filed under the name uncultured bacterium. RNAcentral describes it as "partial 16S ribosomal RNA". It matches the Rfam family "Bacterial small subunit ribosomal RNA", at positions 100 to 334 of the family's 1533-position model. The record is from RNAcentral.
UGGGCGGGACGGGUGAGUAUGUCUGGGAAACUGCCUGAGUGGAGGGGAUAACUACUGGAAACGGUAGCUAAUACCGCAUAACGUCGCAAGACCAAAGAGGGGGACCUUCGGGCCUCUUGCCAUCGGAUGUGCCCAGAUGGGAUUAGCUAGUAGGUGGGGUAACGGCUCACCUAGGCGACGAUCCCUAGCUGGUCUGAGAGGAUGACCAGCCACACUGGAACUGAGACACGGUCCAG